Podarcis lilfordi (Lilford's wall lizard) is the source of this 75-nucleotide non-coding RNA. Lineage: Eukaryota; Metazoa; Chordata; Lepidosauria; Squamata; Lacertidae. The record is from the annotation of a GenBank genome assembly.
GACAUAGCUCAGUGGUAAGGCAACUGCUUUACAAGUACUUGUAGAAGGUCCCAAGUUCAAUCCCUGGCUUCUCCA